RNAcentral lists this ribosomal RNA (1504 nucleotides) under metagenome. RNAcentral's name for it is "bacterial LSU rRNA". It matches the Rfam family "Bacterial large subunit ribosomal RNA", at positions 1278 to 2910 of the family's 2925-position model. The record is from RNAcentral.
UAGAUCAGAAGCGAGAAUGUUGACAUGAGUAGCGACAAACAGGGUGAGAAACCCUGUCGCCGAAAGUCCAAGGGUUCCUGCUUAAAGCUAAUCUGAGCAGGGUAAGCCGGCCCCUAAGGCGAGGCCGAAAGGCGUAGUCGAUGGGAACCAGGUUAAUAUUCCUGGGCCAGGAGGAUGUGACGGAUCUCGAGGAUUGUCUGCCCUUAUCGGAUUGGGUGGGCCGUUUAGAGGUUCCUGGAAAUAGCCCUCCAUCAGACCGUACCCUAAACCGACACAGGUGGACUGGUAGAGUAUACCAAGGCGCUUGAGAGAACCACGUUAAAGGAACUCGGCAAAAUGCUCCCGUAAGUUCGCGAGAAGGGAGCCCCGUCUGUACGCAAGUAUGGGCGGGGGGCACAAACUAGGGGGUGGCGACUGUUUACUUAAAACACAGGGCUGUGCGAAGCCGUAAGGCGACGUAUACAGUCUGACGCCUGCCCGGUGCUGGAAGAUUAAGAGGAGGGGUGCAAGCUCUGAAUUGAAGUCCCAGUAAACGGCGGCCGUAACUAUAACGGUCCUAAGGUAGCGAAAUUCCUUGUCGGGUAAGUUCCGACCUGCACGAAUGGCGUAACGAUCUCCCCGCUGUCUCUAACGUGGACUCAGCGAAAUUGAACUGUGUGUCAAGAUGCACACUACCCGCGGUUAGACGGAAAGACCCCAUGAACCUUUACUCCAGCUUCGCACUGGUAUCAGGAUUGUGAUGUGCAGGAUAGGUGGUAGGCAUCGAAGCGGGGACGCCAGUUCCCGUGGAGCCUCCCUUGAGAUACCACCCUUCGCCAUCUUGAUAUCUAACCGCGGCCCGUUAUCCGGGUCCGGGACCCUGCAUGGUGGGGAGUUUGACUGGGGCGGUCGCCUCCCAAACAGUAACGGAGGCGCGCGAUGGUUGGCUCAGACCGGUCGGAAAUCGGUCGUUGAGUGCAAUGGCAGAAGCCAGCCUGACUGCAAGACUGACAAGUCGAGCAGAGACGAAAGUCGGUCAUAGUGAUCCGGUGGUCCCAAGUGGGAGGGCCAUCGCUCAACGGAUAAAAGGUUCUCUGGGGAUAACAGGCUGAUGAUGCCCAAGAGUCCAUAUCGACGGCAUCGUUUGGCACCUCGAUGUCGGCUCAUCUCAUCCUGGGGCUGGAGCAGGUCCCAAGGGUAUGGCUGUUCGCCAUUUAAAGAGGUACGUGAGCUGGGUUUAGAACGUCGUGAGACAGUUCGGUCCCUAUCUGCCGUGGGUGCAGGAGACUUGAGAAGAGUUGACCCUAGUACGAGAGGACCGGGUUGAACGAACCACUGGUGGACCAGUUAUCGUGCCAACGGUAGUGCUGGGUAGCUAUGUUCGGACAGGAUAACCGCUGAAGGCAUCUAAGCGGGAAGCCCCCUUCAAAACAAGGUCUCCCUUGAGGGCCGUGGAAGACCACCACGUCGAUAGGCCAGAGGUGUAAGCGCAGCAAUGCGUUCAGCUGACUGGUACUAAUUGCCC